CCUACGGGUGGCAGCAGUGAGGAAUAUUGGUCAAUGGACGAGAGUCUGAACCAGCCAAGUAGCGUGAAGGAUGACUGCCCUAUGGGUUGUAAACUUCUUUUAUAAAGGAAUAAAACGAGGCACGUGUGCCUUUUUGCAUGUACUUUAUGAAUAAGGAUCGGCUAACUCCGUGCCAGCAGCCGCGGUAAUACGGAGGAUCCGAGCGUUAUCCGGAUUUAUUGGGUUUAAAGGGAGCGUAGAUGGGUUGUUAAGUUAGUUGUGAAAGUUUGGGGCUCAACCGUAAAAUUGCAAUUGAUACUGGCAGUCUUGAGUACAGUUGAGGUAGGCGGAAUGCGUGGUGUAGCGGUGAAAUGCUUAGAUAUCACGAAGAACCCCGAUUGCGAAGGCAGCUUACUAAUCUGUGACUGACAUUGAUGCUCGAAAGUGUGGGUAUCGAACAGGAGUAGAUACCCGUGUAGUC
Molecule: ribosomal RNA, 460 nt
Filed under: uncultured bacterium
Lineage: Bacteria
Description: partial 16S ribosomal RNA
Rfam family: Bacterial small subunit ribosomal RNA
Source: RNAcentral